AUCCAGCUGACGAGUCGCGAAUAAGAUGAAACACGUAUCUUGGAU
RNAcentral lists this non-coding RNA (45 nucleotides) under Schistosoma margrebowiei. Lineage: Eukaryota; Metazoa; Platyhelminthes; Trematoda; Strigeidida; Schistosomatidae. The record is from RNAcentral.